Molecule: ribosomal RNA, 177 nt
Filed under: uncultured bacterium
Lineage: Bacteria
Description: partial 16S ribosomal RNA
Rfam family: Bacterial small subunit ribosomal RNA
Source: RNAcentral
UGACGGAAUAUUGGGACAAUGGGUGAGAGCCUGAUCCAGCCAUCCCGCGUGAAGGAUGACGGCCCUAUGGGUUGUAAACUUCUUUUGUAUAGGGAUAAACCUAGAUACGUGUAUCUAGCUGAAGGUACUAUACGAAUAAGCACCGGCUAACUCCGUGCCAGCAGCCGCGGUAAUUAA